Molecule: long non-coding RNA, 377 nt
Filed under: Brassica napus (rape)
Lineage: Eukaryota; Viridiplantae; Streptophyta; Magnoliopsida; Brassicales; Brassicaceae
Description: long non-coding RNA (BNAP_LNC018873)
Source: RNAcentral
CAUUACAGCUUACUUUGCAGCUAGUCCAAAGGUGGAAAGAGGUGAAGAACGAGAGCCUAUUCAGUGUAAGCAAAGGUGGUGGAAGAUGAACGAUCUUGUUUGCAAGUUCUGUGGAGCCUAUGCGGCUGCAACAAGACAGAAAACUAGUGGUCAGAGUGACAGUGACACUGUUAACCUGACAUACAAAAUAUUCUACAACGAUCAUAAGAUUAAAUUUAACCUUCACCAUACUUGGGAGGAGCUGAAGAACGACCAGAAAUGGUGUGCGCUGGCGAGUAUUAAGCUUGAUGGACCACAAUCAUCAAGCGCUAAGAAGAGAAGGUGUGAGGAUGGAGCACAGUCAGCAAGCUCUCAAGCAACUACCAUUCUAGGUGAUC